CCUACGGGGGGCAUCAGUGGGGAAUAUUGGACAAUGGGGGGAACCCUGAUCCAGCCAUGCCGCGUGUGUGAAGAAGGCCCUCGGGUUGUAAAGCACUUUCAGUGAGGAAGAACGCCUGGUGGUUAAUACCCAUCAGGAAAGACAUCACUCACAGAAGAAGCACCGGCUAACUCCGUGCCAGCAGCCGCGGUAAUACGGAGGGUGCGAGCGUUAAUCGGAAUUACUGGGCGUAAAGCGCGCGUAGGUGGCUUGAUAAGCCGGUUGUGAAAGCCCCGGGCUCAACCUGGGAACGGCAUCCGGAACUGUCAAGCUAGAGUGCAGGAGAGGAAGGUAGAAUUCCCGGUGUAGCGGUGAAAUGCGUAGAGAUCGGGAGGAAUACCAGUGGCGAAGGCGGCCUUCUGGACUGACACUGACACUGAGGUGCGAAAGCGUGGGUAGCAAACAGGAUUAGAUAACCCGGUAGUC
Molecule: ribosomal RNA, 465 nt
Filed under: Vreelandella stevensii
Lineage: Bacteria; Pseudomonadati; Pseudomonadota; Gammaproteobacteria; Oceanospirillales; Halomonadaceae
Description: partial 16S ribosomal RNA
Rfam family: Bacterial small subunit ribosomal RNA
Source: RNAcentral